RNAcentral lists this unclassified non-coding RNA (834 nucleotides) under Hevea brasiliensis (rubber tree). The record is from RNAcentral. Lineage: Eukaryota; Viridiplantae; Streptophyta; Magnoliopsida; Malpighiales; Euphorbiaceae.
CACCCCGUUCGGUCCGUCCCCGUCGAGUCCGUUCAGAUCCUCGCAAUGGGAGCGGCGCUUCUCUCCGAGCUCCUCACGGAGAUCCUGAUCCCGGUGGCGGCGGUCAUCGGGAUCGCCUUCUCGCUCCUGCAGUAUGUGCUGGUCUCAAAGGUGAAGGUCUCGCCGGAUCACAACGCGCCGGCGAGCAACAACAGCAAGAACGGGUACGGCGACUACCUGAUCGAGGAGGAGGAGGGGAUGAACGAUCACAACGUCGUCGCGAAGUGCGCUGAGAUCCAGACCGCCAUUUCCGAAGGAGCAACAUCUUUCCUUUAUACUGAAUAUAAGUACGUCGGAGGCUUUAUGAUUAUCUUUGCGAUUCUGGUGUUCGUCUUCCUUGGUUCUGUCGAGUCCUUCAGCACAAAGGAACAGCCUUGUACCUACAGCAAGGACAAGCUGUGCAAACCUGCCCUUGCUAAUGCCGGCUUUAGUACAAUAUCUUUUUUGCUCGGUGCAAUUACCUCCUUGGUCUCUGGUUUUCUUGGAAUGAAAAUUGCCACUUAUGCAAAUGCCAGAACAACUUUAGAAGCAAGGAAGGGUGUCGGGAAGGCUUUUAUUACCGCAUUCAGGUCCGGUGCUGUGAUGGGGUUUCUUCUUGCUGCUAAUGGGCUUUUGGUGCUUUAUAUCACAAUCAAUCUAUUCAAGGUGUACUAUGGUGAUGAUUGGGAGGGCCUUUUUGAAGCUAUUACAGGUUAUGGUUUGGGUGGAUCUUCCAUGGCCCUCUUUGGGAGAGUGGGUGGUGGUAUCUACACAAAAGCUGCGGAUGUUGGUGCCGACCUUGUUGGUAAAGUUGAG